GCAAUCCCUGGUUACGCAUGGAAAACAUAAUUUGACAACAAAACAAACCGAAUCUGGAUACUACCUUAAACUUCUGGACAUCAUAAUUUAGCUACCUAAUCGAUGUCGGAUUUGUGGGAACGCAUGACUAAGGGUUACGAAAAAAGGAUGGUGGUGCGCAUUGUUAAAUGCAAGGAUACUGGCGAGUCUCGAGUCCCGCAGGUACAGUUCAGAAACUUAUGGCUAUAUGAGUAAUUUUCGUGCAAGCUGCAAACCGAAUGUCAAAGAUUGAACGUAUCAUCCGGUAUUCUAUUGAACAAGCCAUCUACGUGUGAUUACCACUAAAACCGAUCCGGAUGACAUUUGCAAAACUCUGAAACCUUCGUUGAAACACAUCGAGCAACAAAUUAUCUCUACGUGAUAUCUUACAA
Long non-coding RNA from Topomyia yanbarensis, 410 nucleotides. RefSeq lists it as uncharacterized. Lineage: Eukaryota; Metazoa; Arthropoda; Insecta; Diptera; Culicidae. The transcript is spliced from 3 exons. The record is from RefSeq and is a predicted model, not a curated record.